Molecule: unclassified non-coding RNA, 405 nt
Filed under: Hevea brasiliensis (rubber tree)
Lineage: Eukaryota; Viridiplantae; Streptophyta; Magnoliopsida; Malpighiales; Euphorbiaceae
Source: RNAcentral
GGGUGUUUGUCUUAGAGCGGCUUAUAAGCUCUAAAAAUAAUCUGACUUGUUUAUUUAUAAUAUAUAUUUUUUUUGGCUUAUAAAAUGGGUUUAUAAGCCAAAAAUAAUAAGCUGAGGGGAGGGGGGACUAACUUUUCAUCUUGGUGCUUAUAAACACUAUGCUCAUAAGCUAGUUUAACCACACAAUUUACCAUAUUAUCUGCAUUUAAUUUAAAAUUCCACCAUAUACCUUAUUUAAUGCCAUUUUAGGUAAUUUUAAUAAUGAAUGUACUUAUUUUUACCAAACAUAUUAGCUAUUAAUCAAUUACUCAUAAGCACUUUAAUUAAACACGUAAUUACUUAAAAUUUUAAAUGCUUAGAAGGUUAAAUUAACUUAUAAGCUGAUUUUGAUAAGCUAAGCUAAAC